CGAGGGUUCGAAUCCCUCUCUUUCCG
Molecule: transfer RNA, 26 nt
Filed under: Petunia integrifolia
Lineage: Eukaryota; Viridiplantae; Streptophyta; Magnoliopsida; Solanales; Solanaceae
Also listed under: 1 other name
Description: partial tRNA-Ser
Source: RNAcentral